GCCCGUAUAGCUCAGUGGUAGAGCGCGUCACUCGUAUUCCGACAUGACGAGGUCCGUUGUUCAAUCCAGCGUGUGGGCA
RNAcentral lists this transfer RNA (79 nucleotides) under Pseudozyma flocculosa. It matches the Rfam family "tRNA". From Rfam's summary of the family: Transfer RNA (tRNA) molecules are approximately 80 nucleotides in length. Their secondary structure includes four short double-helical elements and three loops (D, anti-codon, and T loops). RNAcentral also lists the same sequence under 1 other name. The record is from Rfam by way of RNAcentral. Lineage: Eukaryota; Fungi; Basidiomycota; Ustilaginomycetes; Ustilaginales; Ustilaginaceae.